UUAUAUUUGGUGUAUGAUGCACAUUAAUUUUUGAUAUUAUUAGAUAUAGUUUAAUUCUAUAAAUAUAAU
Molecule: transfer RNA, 69 nt
Filed under: Acropteris iphiata
Lineage: Eukaryota; Metazoa; Arthropoda; Insecta; Lepidoptera; Uraniidae
Description: tRNA-Gln
Source: RNAcentral